AGACAUUCUUUCUUUAAGGAGAUAUCGUAAUUUUAUUGGCAAACUUUUUUCUGAAAUUUUCAACAUUUUCCCCUAGAUCCUUUUUAGGUUUUUGGCUCAGAUAUCACUUUUUCGGUUAGUAAUAAAUGCUUUAAGGAUUGUGAACAUACCUCAGGUUAUAAAACUAAUUUGUAUGUACACUUUUUUUGCGCAGGGGAUAUUAUUUAGAAAAAAAUUAAGUAUGUAGUUGCAAGAAGUUCCAUACAUUUCAGGCACAUAACAUUUGGUUAUAGAACUACAGCCUUUUGUUAUCAAUCUUCUGUAGAUUGGUUUGCA
Cinara cedri is the source of this 315-nucleotide non-coding RNA. The record is from the annotation of a GenBank genome assembly. NCBI's taxonomy places the organism in Eukaryota, Metazoa, Arthropoda, Insecta, Hemiptera, Aphididae.